UGCGUAACACGUAAGCAAUCUACCCUCGUGUGGGGAAUAACCUGUCGAAAGACGGGCUAAUGCCGCAUACGGUUGCCCUUCACCUGAAGGGCAUACUAAAACCCGGGACCGCAAGGCCGGGUGCAUGAGGAGGAGCUUGCGGCCUAUCAGCUAGUUGGCGGGGUAACGGCCCACCAAGGCUAAGACGGGUAGCUGGUCUGAGAGGACGACCAGCCACACUGGAACUGAGACACGGUCCAGACACCUACGGGUGGCAGCUAGUUUCGAAUUAUUCAACAAGUGGGACGAAAGCCUGAUGGUGCGACGCCGCGUGAGGGAUGGAAAGGUCUUCGGAUUGUAAACCUCUGUCACCGGGGAAGAAUGGCUAUGACCUAACACGUCAUGGAUUGACUUAACCCGGAGAGGAAGCAGUGGCUAACUCUGUGCCAGCCGCUGC
Molecule: ribosomal RNA, 436 nt
Filed under: uncultured bacterium
Lineage: Bacteria
Description: bacterial SSU rRNA
Rfam family: Bacterial small subunit ribosomal RNA
Source: RNAcentral